GAUGAACGCUGGCGGCGUGCCUAAUACAUGCAAGUCGAGCGAACGGACGAGAAGCUUGCUUCUCUGAUGUUAGCGGCGGACGGGUGAGUAACACGUGGAUAACCUACCUAUAAGACUGGGAUAACUUCGGGAAACCGGAGCUAAUACCGGAUAAUAUUUUGAACCGCAUGGUUCAAAAGUGAAAGACGGUCUUGCUGUCACUUAUAGAUGGAUCCGCGCUGCAUUAGCUAGUUGGUAAGGUAACGGCUUACCAAGGCAACGAUGCAUAGCCGACCUGAGAGGGUGAUCGGCCACACUGGAACUGAGACACGGUCCAGACUCCUACGGGAGGCAGCAGUAGGGAAUCUUCCGCAAUGGGCGAAAGCCUGACGGAGCAACGCCGCGUGAGUGAUGAAGGUCUUCGGAUCGUAAAACUCUGUUAUUAGGGAAGAACAUAUGUGUAAGUAACUGUGCACAUCUUGACGGUACCUAAUCAGAAAGCCACGGCUAACUACGUGCCAGCAGCCGCGGUAAUACGUAGGUGGCAAGCGUUAUCCGGAAUUAUUGGGCGUAAAGCGCGCGUAGGCGGUUUUUUAAGUCUGAUGUGAAAGCCCACGGCUCAACCGUGGAGGGUCAUUGGAAACUGGAAAACUUGAGUGCAGAAGAGGAAAGUGGAAUUCCAUGUGUAGCGGUGAAAUGCGCAGAGAUAUGGAGGAACACCAGUGGCAAAGGCGACUUUCUGGUCUGUAACUGACGCUGAUGUGCGAAAGCGUGGGGAUCAAACAGGAUUAGAUACCCUGGUAGUCCACGCCGUAAACGAUGAGUGCUAAGUGUUAGGGGGUUUCCGCCCCUUAGUGCUGCAGCUAACGCAUUAAGCACUCCGCCUGGGGAGUACGACCGCAAGGUUGAAACUCAAAGGAAUUGACGGGGACCCGCACAAGCGGUGGAGCAUGUGGUUUAAUUCGAAGCAACGCGAAGAACCUUACCAAAUCUUGACAUCCUUUGACAACUCUAGAGAUAGAGCCUUCCCCUUCGGGGGACAAAGUGACAGGUGGUGCAUGGUUGUCGUCAGCUCGUGUCGUGAGAUGUUGGGUUAAGUCCCGCAACGAGCGCAACCCUUAAGCUUAGUUGCCAUCAUUAAGUUGGGCACUCUAAGUUGACUGCCGGUGACAAACCGGAGGAAGGUGGGGAUGACGUCAAAUCAUCAUGCCCCUUAUGAUUUGGGCUACACACGUGCUACAAUGGACAAUACAAAGGGCAGCGAAACCGCGAGGUCAAGCAAAUCCCAUAAAGUUGUUCUCAGUUCGGAUUGUAGUCUGCAACUCGACUACAUGAAGCUGGAAUCGCUAGUAAUCGUAGAUCAGCAUGCUACGGUGAAUACGUUCCCGGGUCU
This 1372-nucleotide ribosomal RNA is filed under the name uncultured bacterium. RNAcentral describes it as "bacterial SSU rRNA". It matches the Rfam family "Bacterial small subunit ribosomal RNA", at positions 28 to 1381 of the family's 1533-position model. The record is from RNAcentral.